CUUGCAAGUCCGAGUUGUAGUCUGAAGAAACGUUUUCCAUGAAAGCUGAGGCACAAGUCCUUUGGAACAGGGCAUCAUAGAGGGUGAGAAUCCCGUCCAUGGUCUCAUGCAUUUCAUUUUGUGAUACGUUUUCUAAGAGUCAGGUUGUUUGGGAAUGCAGCCUAAAAUGGGUGGUAAAUUUCAUCUAAAGCUAAAUAUUGGCGAGAGACCGAUAGCGAACAAGUACCGUGAGGGAAAGAUGAAAAGAACUUUGAAAAGAGAGUUAAAAAGUACGUGAAAUUGUUGAAAGGGAACCGUUUGAAGCCAGUCUUGCUUACUUGUGAUCAAUCUUAGCUUCGGCUUGGAUGCACUCUCGAGUUAUGCAGGUCAACGUCAGUUUGAGAGGUGGGAAAAAAGUUUGAGGAAUGUGGCCUUCGGGUGUUAUAGCCUCUUACUAAAUACCAUCUCCUGGACUGAGGCUCGCAGCAAAAAUGUGGGUUGGUUUGCUCCUGAGGUGAAUCAUUAUUAAGACAGCUUGCUGACUUAGUUUUGUGGAUCUUCACGGUAGACCAGCUUCUAAUUUGCUUAGGUCGUUGACAUAAUGGCUUUAAAUGACCCGUCUUGAAACACGGACCAAGGAGUCUAACAUAUAUGCGAGUAUUUGGGUGUCAAACCCACAUGCGCAAUGAAAGUGAAAUUAGGUGCCAAACCCGCAAGGGUGGCAGCAUCGGCCGGCUYUAACGUUUCUAACUGACGAGUCUGAGCAGAAGCAUACAUGUUGGGACCCGAAAGAUGGUGAACUAUGCCUGAAUAGGGUGAAGCCAGAGGAAACUCUGGUGAGGGCUCGUACGAUUCUGACGUGCAAAUCGAUCGUCAAAUUUGGGUAUAGGGGCGAA
RNAcentral lists this ribosomal RNA (875 nucleotides) under Umbelopsis sp. PP16. RNAcentral's name for it is "eukaryotic LSU rRNA". It matches the Rfam family "Eukaryotic large subunit ribosomal RNA", at positions 129 to 927 of the family's 3401-position model. Lineage: Eukaryota; Fungi; Mucoromycota; Umbelopsidomycetes; Umbelopsidales; Umbelopsidaceae. The record is from RNAcentral.